This 253-nucleotide ribosomal RNA is filed under the name uncultured bacterium. RNAcentral's name for it is "partial 16S ribosomal RNA". It matches the Rfam family "Bacterial small subunit ribosomal RNA", at positions 524 to 776 of the family's 1533-position model. The record is from RNAcentral.
UACGAAGGGUGCAAACGUUGCUCGGAAUCAUUGGGCGUAAAGCGCACGUAGGCGGCUUCGCAAGUCGGAUGUGAAAUCCCGUGGCUCAACCAUGGACGUGCAUCCGAAACUGUGAGGCUUGAGUAUGGAAGAGGGUCGCGGAAUUCCCGGUGUAGAGGUGAAAUGCGUAGAUAUUGGGAGGAACACCAGUGGCGAAGGCGGCUCACUGGACCGGAACUGACGCUGAGGCGCGAAAGCGUGGGGAGCAAACAGG